UACGAAGGGGGCUAGCGUUGCUCGGAAUGACUGGGCGUAAAGGGCGCGUAGGCGGUUCGUACAGUCAGGCGUGAAAUUCCCGGGCUUAACCUGGGGGCUGCGUUUGAUACGUGCGGGCUUGAGUUCGGAAGAGGGUCGUGGAAUUCCCAGUGUAGAGGUGAAAUUCGUAGAUAUUGGGAAGAACACCAGUGGCGAAGGCGGCUUCCUGGUCUGCGACUGACGCUGUGGCGCGAAAGCUAGGGGAGCAAACGGG
Molecule: ribosomal RNA, 253 nt
Filed under: uncultured bacterium
Lineage: Bacteria
Description: partial 16S ribosomal RNA
Rfam family: Bacterial small subunit ribosomal RNA
Source: RNAcentral